UGUCUAUGCCAUGUUACCCUGAAUAAGCCCGGUUCCAUCUGAUUUCAGAAGAUAAGCAGGGUCAGGCCUGGUUAGUACUUGAAUGGGAGACCACCUAGGAAGACCAGGUGCUGUAAUGG
Molecule: ribosomal RNA, 119 nt
Filed under: Pteropus alecto (black flying fox)
Lineage: Eukaryota; Metazoa; Chordata; Mammalia; Chiroptera; Pteropodidae
Also listed under: 1 other name
Source: RNAcentral